Molecule: ribosomal RNA, 392 nt
Filed under: uncultured alga
Lineage: Eukaryota
Description: bacterial LSU rRNA
Rfam family: Bacterial large subunit ribosomal RNA
Source: RNAcentral
GCUUCACUGCAGGCUGGCAUUUGGGUUCGGGCUUUUCUUGCGCAGUCUAGGUGGGAGGCUUUGAAGGGUUUCCUUCCGGGAAGCUGGAGCCAUCAGUGAGAGACCACUCUGGAAAGGGCUAGAAUCCUAAUGGUGAUCCUUGAAUCAGGCACACGUUGACGAUUCGUCAGCUAGACAGGUUUUUUCUGGGGCGGAAGGCUCCUAAAGCGGUAACGGAGCUGUGCAAAGGUUACCCUCAGUCUGGAGCGUGAAAUCCAGACGUGGGAGUGUAAAGGCAAAGAGGGGAGCUUGACUGCGAGAGGAGACAACUCAAGCAGGUUAGGAAAACUAGGUCUUUAGUGAUCCGACGGCUACCCGUGGUGGAAGGGCCGUCGCUCAACGGAUAAAAGUUA